This 76-nucleotide transfer RNA is filed under the name Clostridiales bacterium. Its description in RNAcentral is "tRNA-Thr". It matches the Rfam family "tRNA". Rfam says of the family: Transfer RNA (tRNA) molecules are approximately 80 nucleotides in length. The record is from RNAcentral. RNAcentral also lists the same sequence under 4 other names. Lineage: Bacteria; Bacillati; Bacillota; Clostridia; Eubacteriales.
GCUGAUGUAGCUCAGUCGGUAGAGCGCAUCCUUGGUAAGGAUGAGGUCACCAGUUCGAAUCUGGUCAUCAGCUCCA